RNAcentral lists this ribosomal RNA (253 nucleotides) under uncultured bacterium. RNAcentral describes it as "partial 16S ribosomal RNA". It matches the Rfam family "Bacterial small subunit ribosomal RNA", at positions 524 to 776 of the family's 1533-position model. The record is from RNAcentral.
UACGUAGGAGGCAAGCGUUGUCCGGAAUCACUGGGCGUAAAGCGCGUGUAGGCGGCUCGCUAAGUCUGUGGUGAAAGCGCCUGGCUUAACCGGGCGAGGUCCAUGGAAACUAGCGGUCUGGAGGCCGGUAGAGGGGGGUGGAAUUCCGGGUGUAGUGGUGAAAUGCGUAGAGAUCCGGAGGAACACCGGUGGCGAAGGCGGCAUCCUGGACCGGUAUUGACGCUGAUGCGCGAAAGCCAGGGGAGCAAACGGG